RNAcentral lists this ribosomal RNA (460 nucleotides) under uncultured bacterium. RNAcentral's name for it is "partial 16S ribosomal RNA". It matches the Rfam family "Bacterial small subunit ribosomal RNA", at positions 338 to 795 of the family's 1533-position model. The record is from RNAcentral.
CCUACGGGGGGCAGCAGUGAGGAAUAUUGGUCAAUGGGCGAGAGCCUGAACCAGCCAAGUCGCGUGAGGGAAGCCGGUCCUAUGGAUUGUACACCUCUUUUGUCGGGGAGCAAAAAGGCCUCGUGGGGCCACAAGUGAGAGUACCCGAAGAAAAAGCAUCGGCUAACUCCGGGCCAGCAGCCGCGGUAAUACGGGGGAUGCGAGCGUUAUCCGGAUUUAUUGGGUUUAAAGGGUGCGUGGGCGGACUGGAAGGUCAGCGGUAAAUUCGAGAGGCUCAAACUCUUUCAGCCUUUGAAACUGGCAAACUUGAGUGGGUGAGAGGUUAGUGGAAUUCCAGGUGUAGGAGUGAAAUGCGUAGAUAUCUGGCGGAACAUCAGUGGCGAAGGCGACUUUCUGGCGCCCAACUGACGCUGAGGAGCGAAAGCGUGGGUAGCAAACAGGAUUAGAUACCCCGGUAGUC